Molecule: microRNA precursor, 198 nt
Organism: Arabidopsis thaliana (thale cress)
Lineage: Eukaryota; Viridiplantae; Streptophyta; Magnoliopsida; Brassicales; Brassicaceae
Rfam family: MIR447 microRNA precursor family
Source: Rfam
CAUUCUUAAUAUACAAUACUUCUUUUUCAUGCAUUAAGCCCCUUACAAUGUCGAGUAAACAAAGCAUGUGUCCGCUAAUAUUGUCUUCGAGCUUGGUAUUUUUGUAUUCUGAUACGGUAUUUGGGGACGACAUCUUUUGUUGACUCGAUAUAAGAAGGGGGUUUGUGGAAGAAAUUGUAGUAUUAUAUAUCAAGAAUG